RNAcentral lists this ribosomal RNA (760 nucleotides) under uncultured Neocallimastigales. RNAcentral describes it as "partial large subunit ribosomal RNA". It matches the Rfam family "Eukaryotic large subunit ribosomal RNA", at positions 23 to 629 of the family's 3401-position model. The record is from RNAcentral. Lineage: Eukaryota; Fungi; Neocallimastigomycota; Neocallimastigomycetes; Neocallimastigales.
GAGACUCUGUGCGCGUGCAUAUCAAUAAGCGGAGGAAAAGAAACUAACAAGGAUUCCCCUAGUAACGGCGAGUGAAGCGGGAAGAGCUCAAAUUUGAAAUCUUCAAGGUUUGACCUUGACGAAUUGUAGUUUAAAGAAGUGUUUUCGGUUAGAGGAGUAGUAAAAGUUCUUUGGAAUAGGACAUCAUAGAGGGUGAGAAUCCCGUAUUUGACUAUUCUUUCUAGCUUUGUGAUACACUUUCAAAGAGUCGGAUUGUUUGGGAAUGCAGUCCAAAAUGGGUGGUAAAUUUCAUCUAAAGCUAAAUAUUGGCGAGAGACCGAUAGCGAACAAGUACCGUGAGGGAAAGAUGAAAAGAACUUUGAAAAGAGAGUUAAACAGUACGUGAAAUUGUCAAAAGGGAAGCGUUUGACACCAGUGUUGUUUUUCCGAAAAUCAAUUAAAAAUUGAUUCAUGCUAGGUUGUAUUGACCUCAUCAGCUUGCAAUUUAGUUUUGGGUCUCUUUUUGAUGCACCUUUUCGGUUAACAAGUCAACAUCAAUUUCCUUUGCUGUAAAAAGGUAAGAGGAAGGCUGGCUUCAAUUUCGGUUGAAGUGUUUAUAGCCUUUUAUCUCUGCAGUCGGGGAGAUUGAGGUCUGCAGCGUAGAUCCUUCGGGGCUAGAUACAUUUAUGCUAAGUUAUAGCUUUUCAUAGACAACUUGUUGACUAUGUUUAGUCAUGUAGCUUACUCGUAAGUGCUAUUUUACCUACGCUUAGGAUGUUGA